Molecule: long non-coding RNA, 331 nt
Filed under: Cinara cedri
Lineage: Eukaryota; Metazoa; Arthropoda; Insecta; Hemiptera; Aphididae
Source: RNAcentral
AACGAAAGAGCAUACUUUUUUCUAUAUAAUGGCAUAUUCUUUAGAGAUAUUUUCUAAAUAGUUAAAAUUUUAUGAGAAAUAUAGACAAAAUUUUAGUAUCCUUCGAUAUCGAAAUUUCACGGUUUUUUCAAUAUUAAAUUGGAUAAAAGUGAUACUUCUAAGCCGAUUUUCGAACAUCGGUCAAAUCCAAACGAAAGAGCAUACUUUUUUCUAUAUAAUGGCAUAUUUUUUAGAGAUUUUUUCUAAAUAGUUAAAAUUUUAUGAAGAAUAUAGACAAAAUUUUAGUAUCGUUCGAUAGCGAAUUUUCACGGUUUUUUCAAUUAUAAAUUGA